UCCCACUUAUUAUAAUCGAUAUUAUAUAAAAGUUUCAAUUUUAUGAUGCGCACUGUCGUGGUGGGGA
This 67-nucleotide transfer RNA is filed under the name Gordionus wolterstorffii. RNAcentral describes it as "tRNA-Glu". Lineage: Eukaryota; Metazoa; Nematomorpha; Gordioida; Chordodea; Parachordodidae. The record is from RNAcentral.